AGUAUUUUAAUGUUAUUUCAGAUGCGGCAAGAGUUGGACAAAAGUAUAGCUAGGGAACUGGGUGAAGCUGGAUUUACUGAUGGAUCCUCAAAAAUGACAAAUCCGAAUGAGGAUCCAGUUUCCCUAGAAACCCAAGAAUACUUAAAGAUUUUUAAGAAAAAUUACUAGCCUUAAAAGAAGAAAUAAUGUUAAUUUUGAAAUAAACUAUGUUUAUAUAAUAUUUAAUAAUUUUCUAUUAAAUAUAUAAAUGAGAAACAAAUCUAAUAUGUUAGAAAAUAUAUCAUAAGUUUUUAACUUAUUUUAAGUUACAGUACACUUACAUUUUUUUUGUUUUUAAACUUUAAACGAAUCAAAUACUUCAUUUGCUUUGCAAGUUUUAUGAUAACAGUGCUUUUUUUGUGAAGUCUUUAAUCACAAAACCUAGGUUGAUUCAAAUCCUGAUUUUGCUAUACAGGGUUGUUCGCACCACUACUUGAGGAUCAAAUCUGGCUGCUGCUUAUUUUUGUACUGCAUGCUAAGAAUGGUUUUUUCCUUUUUAAAUAAAGUCUUAGUGUAUUUAUUGCAAAAAAGCAUUCUUAAUUCUCUAGCCAAACAACACUGGGGAUUGUUGGUAUUUAGCCAGCUUGCUGUAGUUUACCAACCCUUGAGUUAAACUGUCCAUGGAGGAAAUUUCUACAUCAGGGAGUUCCUGUGAUGAUGAAAUCACGGGUCUGAGCCAAGUAUUUAUGCACAUCUGCAUUUUUUUUUUAGCGUUGAUGCUUCUGAAGUUAUUAAAGCUUAAAACUGCUCUGAGAA
Non-coding RNA from Phascolarctos cinereus (koala), 795 nucleotides. The record is from RefSeq and is a predicted model, not a curated record. Lineage: Eukaryota; Metazoa; Chordata; Mammalia; Diprotodontia; Phascolarctidae.